UCAUGAUUUACAUUUGAGUGAGUGGCGAACUGGUGAGUAACACGUGGGAAACCUGCCCAGAAGAGGGGGAUAACACCUGGAAACAGAUGCUAAUACCGUAUAACAGAGAAAACCGCAUGGUUUCUUUUAAAAGAUGGCUCUGCUAUCACUUCUGGAUGGACCCGCGGCGUAUUAGCUAGUUGGUGAGGUAACGGCUCACCAUAGCAAUGAUACGUAGCCGACCUGAGAGGGUAAUCGGCCACAUUGGGACUGAGACACGGCCCAAACUCC
This 270-nucleotide ribosomal RNA is filed under the name uncultured Pediococcus sp. Its description in RNAcentral is "partial 16S ribosomal RNA". It matches the Rfam family "Bacterial small subunit ribosomal RNA", at positions 72 to 339 of the family's 1533-position model. The record is from RNAcentral. Lineage: Bacteria; Bacillati; Bacillota; Bacilli; Lactobacillales; Lactobacillaceae.